This is a long non-coding RNA of Oncorhynchus tshawytscha (Chinook salmon), 549 nucleotides long. Lineage: Eukaryota; Metazoa; Chordata; Actinopteri; Salmoniformes; Salmonidae. The record is from Ensembl.
CUGUUCCUAGACCGUCAUUGAAAAUAAGAAUUUGUUCUUAACUGACUUGCCUAGUAAAAUAAAUUUUAAAAAGGACGUUGAGGUGUGAUUAUGUGGGAGUGGGUCAGUAGUAAACAUGUUUAAGGACAGUGAGGUGGGUCGGUAGUAAACAUGUUUAAGGACAGUGAGGUGGGUCAGUAGUAAACAUGUUUAAGGACAGUGAGGUGUGAUUAUGUGGGAGUGGGUCAGUAGUAAACAUGUUUAAGGACAGUGAGGUGUGAUUAUGUGGGAGUGGGUCAGUAGUAAACAUGUUUAAGGACAGUGAGGUGUGAUUAUGUGGGAGUGGGUCAGUAGUAAACAUGUUUAAGGACAGUGAGGUGUGAUUAUGUGGGGGUGGGUCAGUAGUAAACAUGUUUAAGGACAGUGAGGUGUGAUUAUGUGGGGGUGGGUCAGUAGUAAACAUGUUUAAGGACAGUGAGGUGUGAUUAUGUGGGGGUGGGUCAGUAGUAAACAUGUUUAAGGACAGUGAGGUGUGAUUAUGUGGGGGUGGGUCGGUAGUAAACAUAUAUA